AUAUAAAAUGACUCUCGGCAACGGAUAUCUCGGCUCUUGCAUCGAUGAAGAACGUAGCGAAAUGCGAUACUUGGUGUGAAUUGCAGAAUCCCGUGAACCAUCGAGUCUUUGAACGCGAGUUGCGCCUGAAGCCAUUAGGUUGAGGGCACGCCUGCUUGGGUGUCACAC
RNAcentral lists this ribosomal RNA (168 nucleotides) under Daviesia pachyloma. RNAcentral describes it as "5.8S ribosomal RNA". It matches the Rfam family "5.8S ribosomal RNA". Rfam says of the family: 5.8S ribosomal RNA (5.8S rRNA) is a component of the large subunit of the eukaryotic ribosome. It is transcribed by RNA polymerase I as part of the 45S precursor that also contains 18S and 28S rRNA. Functionally, it is thought that 5.8S rRNA may be involved in ribosome translocation. Lineage: Eukaryota; Viridiplantae; Streptophyta; Magnoliopsida; Fabales; Fabaceae. The record is from RNAcentral.